GGGUUGUGAGGUUAAGCGACUAAGCGUACACGGUGGAUGCCCUGGCAGUCAGAGGCGAUGAAGGGCGUGCUAAUCUGCGAUAAGCGCCGGUAAGGUGAUAUGAACCGUUAUAACCGGCGAUACCCGAAUGGGGAAACCCAGUGUGACUCGUCACACUAUCAUUAACUGAAUCCAUAGGUUAAUGAGGCGAACCGGGGGAACUGAAACAUCUAAGUACCCCGAGGAAAAGAAAUCAACCGAGAUUCCCCCAGUAGCGGCGAGCGAACGGGGAGGAGCCCAGAGCCUGAAUCAGCAUGUGUGUUAGUGGAAGCGUCUGGAAAGGCGCGCGAUACAGGGUGACAGCCCCGUACACAAAAGCGCAUGUGCUGUGAGCUCGAUGAGUAGGGCGGGACACGUGGUAUCCUGUCUGAAUAUGGGGGGACCAUCCUCCAAGGCUAAAUACUCCUGACUGACCGAUAGUGAACCAGUACCGUGAGGGAAAGGCGAAAAGAACCCCGGCGAGGGGAGUGAAAAAGAACCUGAAACCGUGUACGUACAAGCAGUGGGAGCACCCUUUGGGUGUGACUGCGUACCUUUUGUAUAAUGGGUCAGCGACUUAUAUUCUGUAGCAAGGUUAACCGAAUAGGGGAGCCGGAGGGAAACCGAGUCUUAACCGGGCGUUAAGUUGCAGGGUAUAGACCCGAAACCCGGUGAUCUAGCCAUGGGCAGGUUGAAGGUUGGGUAACACUAACUGGAGGACCGAACCGACUAAUGUUGAAAAAUUAGCGGAUGACCUGUGGCUGGGGGUGAAAGGCCAAUCAAACCGGGAGAUAGCUGGUUCUCCCCGAAAGCUAUUUAGGUAGCGCCUCGUGAAUUCAUCUCCGGGGGUAGAGCACUGUUUCGGCUAGGGGGCCAUCCCGGCUUACCAACCCGAUGCAAACUGCGAAUACCGGAGAAUGUUAUCACGGGAGACACACGKCGGGUGCUAACGUCCGGYGUSAAGAGGGAAACAACCCAGACCGCCAGCUAAGGUCCCUAAAUAUUGCUAAGUGGGAAACGAAGUGGGAAGGCUAAAACAGUCAGGAGGUUGGCUUAGAAGCAGCCACCCUUUAAAGAAAGCGUAAUAGCUCACUGAUCGAGUCGUCCUGCGCGGAAGAUGUAACGGGGCUAAGCAAUAUACCGAAGCUGCGGAUGCACGUAAGUGCAUGGUAGGAGAGCGUUCUGUAAGCCUGUGAAGGUGUCUUGUAAAGGAUGCUGGAGGUAUCAGAAGUGCGAAUGCUGACAUGAGUAGCGAUAAAGGGGGUGAAAGGCCCCCUCGCCGUAAGCCCAAGGUUUCCUACGCAACGUUCAU
This 1330-nucleotide ribosomal RNA is filed under the name Lactobacillus acidophilus. RNAcentral describes it as "bacterial LSU rRNA". It matches the Rfam family "Bacterial large subunit ribosomal RNA", at positions 1 to 1370 of the family's 2925-position model. The record is from RNAcentral. Lineage: Bacteria; Bacillati; Bacillota; Bacilli; Lactobacillales; Lactobacillaceae.